UUCCGUCCAUGCAGUUGACAAAAGCCUCCGUACGCUCUCGCCCAUGUUCAUAUAAGGAACAGUCCCGGAGGUGUUCUUGAGCAGCACCCAGAAGACAGUGACUUGUAUUCUGUGUCCUCCUAGGUGUCGCGAAGCUGAAAAAGCGGGGGCCCCUUCUUGAAACGAGGCAGCAGGCUGGUGCUGAGGUGGCCGUAGGAGCACAGGACACAGGUGUCCCCGAGGAGGAAAGAAGGCGGCACCAUCC
Long non-coding RNA from Felis catus (domestic cat), 244 nucleotides. RefSeq lists it as uncharacterized. NCBI's taxonomy places the organism in Eukaryota, Metazoa, Chordata, Mammalia, Carnivora, Felidae. The transcript is spliced from 3 exons. The record is from RefSeq and is a predicted model, not a curated record.